This 342-nucleotide unclassified non-coding RNA is filed under the name uncultured fungus. RNAcentral describes it as "partial contains 5.8S ribosomal RNA and internal transcribed spacer 2". The stretch from base 1 to 133 matches the Rfam family "5.8S ribosomal RNA", at positions 22 to 154 of the family's 154-position model. The record is from RNAcentral. Lineage: Eukaryota; Fungi.
UGGCUCCAGCAUCGAUGAAGAACGCAGCGAAACGCGAUAUGUAAUGUGAAUUGCAGAAUUCAGUGAAUCAUCGAAUCUUUGAACGCACAUGGCGCCUUCCAGUAUCCUGGGAGGCAUGCCUGUCCGAGCGUCGUUUCAACCCUCGAGCCCCAGUGGCCCGGCGUUGGGGAUCUGCCACGGCAGGCCCCGAAAUACAGCGGCGGACCCGUCGGGCCCUCUCCUUGCGUAGUAGCUUUAGCCUCGCAUCGGGAGCCCGCGCGGCGUCCACGCCCCUAAACCCCCCGCAAGCCCGCCCCCGGCGGCACCAAGGUUGACCUCGGAUCAGGUAGGAAUACCCGCUGA